AUACGGAGGGUGCAAGCGUUAUCCGGAAUCAUUGGGUUUAGAGGGUCCGUAGGCGGACUAUUAAGUCAGAGGUGAAAUCCCACAGCUCAACUGUGGAACUGCCUUUGAUACUGGUAGUCUUGAGUUAUAUGGAAGUAGAUAGAAUGUGUAGUGUAGCGGUGAAAUGCAUAGAUAUUACACAGAAUACCGAUUGCGAAGGCAGUCUACUACGUAUAUACUGACGCUAAGGGACGAAAGCGUGGGGAGCGAACAGGAUUAGAAACCCCAGUAGUCC
This 274-nucleotide ribosomal RNA is filed under the name uncultured bacterium. Its description in RNAcentral is "partial 16S ribosomal RNA". It matches the Rfam family "Bacterial small subunit ribosomal RNA", at positions 523 to 796 of the family's 1533-position model. The record is from RNAcentral.